Camelus ferus (Wild Bactrian camel) is the source of this 72-nucleotide transfer RNA. It matches the Rfam family "tRNA". From Rfam's summary of the family: Transfer RNA (tRNA) molecules are approximately 80 nucleotides in length. Their secondary structure includes four short double-helical elements and three loops (D, anti-codon, and T loops). Further hydrogen bonds mediate the characteristic L-shaped molecular structure. tRNAs have two regions of fundamental functional importance: the anti-codon, which is responsible for specific mRNA codon recognition, and the 3' end, to which the tRNAs corresponding amino acid is attached (by aminoacyl-tRNA synthetases). tRNAs cope with the degeneracy of the genetic code in two manners: having more than one tRNA (with a specific anti-codon) for a particular amino acid; and 'wobble' base-pairing, i.e. permitting non-standard base-pairing at the 3rd anti-codon position. The record is from Rfam. Lineage: Eukaryota; Metazoa; Chordata; Mammalia; Artiodactyla; Camelidae.
GAGGGGAUAUCUCAACUGGUAGAGCACAUGCUUAGCAUGCAGAAGUCCUGGGUUCAAUCCCCAGUACCUCCU